RNAcentral lists this unclassified non-coding RNA (333 nucleotides) under soil metagenome. RNAcentral's name for it is "partial contains 5.8S ribosomal RNA, internal transcribed spacer 2, and large subunit ribosomal RNA". The stretch from base 1 to 120 matches the Rfam family "5.8S ribosomal RNA", at positions 35 to 154 of the family's 154-position model. The record is from RNAcentral.
GAUGAAGAACGUAGCGAAAUGCGAUAAGUAAUGUGAAUUGCAGAAUUCAGUGAAUCACCGAAUCUUUGAACGCACAUUGCGCCCGCCAGUAUUCUGGCGGGCAUGCCUGUUCGAGCGUCAUUUCAACCAUCAAGCCCCGGGCUUGUGUUGGGGACCUGCGGCUGCCGCAGGCCCUGAAAUGCAGUGGCGGGCUCGCUGUCACUCCGAGCGUAGUAGUUACAUCUCGCUCUGGGCGUGCUGCGGGUUCCGGCCGUUAAAAGCCUUAUUUACCCAAGGUUGACCUCGGAUCAGGUAGGAAGACCCGCUGAACUUAAGCAUAUCAUAAGCGGAGGA